UCUUUAUCAGCUGCCUUGCCUGGCUGUUUUGUAAAUGAAAUUACGAAUGUAAAUUAUGUUUGUACAUUUUCAUUGCACAUAUAAAACUUUUAUAAAUGUGAAAAUAAUCUUUAUUUGACAUAGAGAACAAGAGGGGGGGGAUAUUUCUCAUUGAGAACUUUGGUACAGUGUAAUACAGGUGAAACAGUAACUGCCUAGGUCCAAAGGAGGGACCUUCUUUUACUCAGAUGAUAAACUGUAAACAAAUAAAUAAGCUGCUUAAAGAACCUUAGCAGUUUGAAGUUAUAAUUUACAGCUAGAGUCUUUUUUUCAGUAAGUCAUUAUUUCACAAUAGAGCUUUUUACUUUUAAAGAAAUGGCACAAAAUUAAGCUUACCAGCUUGAAUUUUUUAUUUUCUUUACUUCCAGAAUUGUCCUGGAAAAAGCACUUCUUAGCUACUUACUUUGCAUGGGAACUGGCCUCGGUCAAGUGCACACAGGCUCUUCUUCCUAGAAUCCGGCACUGAGCUUUCUGCCACCCAGGGCUUAGUCAGCAACUGGAGAAUUAUUCCUGAAGUUUAAGCUCUUCCUCAUAGUCACCAGUUGUUAUCUUCCCAGCUCAGCUCUUCUUCUUCCCAGCCUUCUGCCUCUCCCUGCAACAGAACACACCAGCUAUCUGAAUGGCAGCACUCUGUGCACUCUCAUCAUCCCACUGCCAGCUUGGUCCUGACCUGUGGCAAGAUGACUUUCUUCAGCUGUUCCUGAGUGAAGUGCUCCACGUAGGCUUCAAUGUGGGACAGUAACACCAUCCUCACAUGCUCCUCAUGGACCUCAAACAGCUGGAGAAGCACAGGGAUCACCCGUGACUGGAACAGUGCUGGCGAGAGCAAGCAAGGAGUCUCUCCUGCAUUCUCUACCCCAAAUCAGAGGGCACAGACAACAGUCAUUCAGUGAAAAGGGUAAAGAACAUAAUUUGUCAGCUGAGUCCAGAAUUUUACACAUAUCUUAUGUAGUUGUCUACAAUUGUAAGCCCCGAGCUAAAGGAAUUUCUUAUGUGGAUUCAAAAUUACUUGAAGGCUUUACUGUCUCAAGUGCUCUCUGCAUCCUGUCUGUUCCUGGUUAGUGGAUCAAGUAUGAUCUUUAAAGAACACUGAGGUGAUUCAUGGGUUCUCCCUCAAAUCCACAGUGAGGAUGGAAAGCUAUAAGGGAAAAUUCAAAACUAAAGUAAAUAUGUUCAAUCCAGAGGUAAAGUGCAAGUCUAAACUGAAAUAACUACCCAUAGUAUCCGUUAGAAUGGCACCAUUUAAGAAAAUGAACUCUGGGGGCGGGCAGAAGAGAUGGCUCUUUGGUUAAGAAUAAUGGCGAAUGCAGAGGACCCAGGUUCAGGUCCCAGGACUCAUGGUGGCUUACAACCAUUCCUUCCUAACUCCAGUUUCAGUGGAU
This is a long non-coding RNA of Peromyscus eremicus (cactus mouse), 1421 nucleotides long. RefSeq lists it as uncharacterized. Lineage: Eukaryota; Metazoa; Chordata; Mammalia; Rodentia; Cricetidae. The record is from RefSeq and is a predicted model, not a curated record. The transcript has 3 exons.